AUUCCAUGAUAAGGGCAUUUCUGUAAUAAUUCUUUGUACCUUUCCCAUGCCUCAUACAAGGACUCAUCAUCCAUUUUUUUGAAAGAAGUCAUCUCGUUCCUCAACUU
This 107-nucleotide small nucleolar RNA is filed under the name Gossypium hirsutum (cotton). RNAcentral describes it as "Plant small nucleolar RNA R71". It matches the Rfam family "Plant small nucleolar RNA R71". From Rfam's summary of the family: R71 is a member of the C/D box family of snoRNAs containing the C (UGAUGA) and D (CUGA) box motifs. The record is from Rfam by way of RNAcentral. Lineage: Eukaryota; Viridiplantae; Streptophyta; Magnoliopsida; Malvales; Malvaceae.